Molecule: long non-coding RNA, 2069 nt
Organism: Lathyrus oleraceus (garden pea)
Lineage: Eukaryota; Viridiplantae; Streptophyta; Magnoliopsida; Fabales; Fabaceae
Exons: 2
Source: RefSeq, a predicted model, not a curated record
UUCGGUGGGUUCGUUUUUGGGUUUAGAUUCGUGUGAGUGGGUUUAGUUUAGUUAUCCUUUUUCAAUUUUCUCUCUCUAGAAUCUAGAGAGAGAAAGAGGAAGAUAUACGGUGGUUUUCUGUGAAGAAGAAGAUGAUUAUUCUCUCACUUCGCGUUCUCUAAUUCGCUUGGUGCAGGUCGGGAACCACUACUUCCGCAGUUUUCGUACGUAAUGACGACGGAACAAUCACCGGCGGAGAAUUGGAUCCCGCCUUGCAUCAACUGAAUCGGAGGCCGCGGUGAAGCUUUUCGUUCUUUUCCAGCUCAGAUCUCAGCUCGGUGUUUACAUAAUCAAGUUUAUAUGAGAUAUUUUUUGGUGUAUUGUACUGGAUAUUAAGCCGGAACGAAAGUAAUGCUUGGCGAUUGGUUUUGACUCUGUUAAUUCAUUCUGAAUUGAGUUGAAGCAAUCAACAGUACCUGGGUUGAAGCAAUUGAUUGUGAUUGUUUCCUGUUUUUAAUAUAUUGGUUUGAAGUUUGGUGAAUUAUGCUAUAGAAUUUUAAUAUAUCAAAAUGUUUCAACCACUAGGUUUUUGUGUUUCCUUCUGUGAUUGUCCCAUGUAGUCUGUAGCUGAGAUGAAUGUGUAGUUUUUGACCAUGAUUCCUUGCAGCCAGUUUUUUUCCAUAACCUGUCCAACUUGGUUGUUGGAUCGAAACCAGACCGUCCAAAUUUCAAACUUUAAUGUUUUGAUUUUAAAAAAUCAAAUCAAUCUGGACAGUCCGAUUUCGAUUCAAUGGUCAAUUGAAAUCUGUAUUUUUUUUUCUUCUUGUUUUGUGAUUGUGAUAUGUCACAUGGUUAUAGUAUACUUCACCUAUAAUCCCCAUCCAAUUUUCAUGUUGAAAAUGCACUCAUGAUCUGCAGUUGGCCUGAAUACAUCACUGACAGAAAGGUGUUGAACUGAUAUUAUACCCUUUCAGUGAUCUACCUAGUAAUAUAUUCAAUAAGAUGUUUUAUCAUAUAGUAUCAAACUACAAUAAUUUUUCUUUUGAUAAAUGCUUAGCAACUAGCUUGACAGCUUGACAUUUUGACAGUAUCUUUACAGUAAAACAGUUUAUUUGGGAAAGUUGAGCAGCAGUCCACAUCUGCCCAUAAUGUCAAGUAGUAUCUACUCUAAAUUUUUGCUAAAUGGAGAAACAUUGGAUUCAGCCUCACGUUUGCACCUUCAGCCUCACAUUUCAAUGCAUGGUUCUAAACUCCCUCUACAUUUGUUAUAUAUGCUGAUUUAUCAGAGUUUGUUAAUUUGCCAGUAACAGGUUGGGGAACUAGAUGAUCAUCUCUCAAGCAUGUGUAUUCUGUACUAUUAAAAAGGCGUAGUUCCCACCAAGGUACCGGUACAUACAUACGCAGUUUGGUAUUCGUUUGUGACAGUUGAAGAUCUGAAUUGUUCAUAUUCGGUUUGUGACAGUUGAAGAUCUGAAUUGUUCAUAUUCGGUUUGUGACAGUUGAAGAUCUGAAUUGUUCAUAUUCGGUUUUGUGACAGUUGAAUGAGAUGAAAUAUUUAAGAAUAUUAUCAUUAUUUUAAUAUAAUAAAAUUCUAUAUUGUGUAGUUGGGUUUCUUGUUUGAUGUUGUAGCCAUACUUCCAAACUCUAGGCUGGACACUUCCAUAUGUUAUCUAUGUUGUCCUUGUUGCUGCAGAUGUCCUAUAUAGCCUAUUGUUGAGCUCUUCUAGUCCUCUACAAGACAUGUUUUUAGAUUUCAUUUUGUAUAAUGUAAUGUCAACCUUGUAAUUUAUUACUACACGUUGUGUUGUACACAUGUUGGUUAAGAAUGGGGAGUUAUUAUACUUUAUAAGGGAACUGUCAACAACGUAGGCACGAAUUGUGAAAGAAUAGCAGGUAUAUUGUUUUAGAAAAGUUUCAGAUGUCUACCUUCCCUACGGAACUGGAUCACCUACACAGUUAAAGAGAGUGGAUCAUUAUAUAGUAUUUUUGGGCAGUAUAUAAUUCAAUUGCUACAAUUUUUGGCAUCAUGUCAACUGAUGCAGAUUAUUUCGAAUAUAUGAUCAGCUCGUCAAGAGUUUAAUUUUUUCUAA